Molecule: unclassified non-coding RNA, 2288 nt
Organism: Drosophila serrata
Lineage: Eukaryota; Metazoa; Arthropoda; Insecta; Diptera; Drosophilidae
Source: RefSeq, a predicted model, not a curated record
ACAGAGUCAAAACUCGCCUGACGGGACAGCGAACUUGACUUGUUCAGGGGCGUAUCAGAGGAGCGCCCCUGGAUAGCCGGCGAAGCCAGACAAAGGCAAUCGCUGCGGCGAAUUUGCGAAUUCGAUCAAAACAAGUCGCCCCACCGCACGGCGAAUAUGCAACGCACGAAAACAACAUGCGGUUCUUAACCCCCCAUUUUCCCCUUUUCGCGAAUUCGCGUGGGUUGCCAUGCACAUUUCUCGAUUGAACAACAAAAACAAGUGAAUAACUGAACUCGCAGUCAAGUAAACAAGCUCCAGGCAAAGUGUGUGUAUUUCUGUUGGAAGAACUUGAUAAUUGAUUGUAAAUGCUGACGCAAAUUAUUUGAAGAUAGUUCCUAACGGUGACAAGAACCGAGUUUGAUGUGAAAACGAAAGUGCGGGAAACCCAGAGGAAAGGGGGCCAUAGUGUGUGUGCAAAUUGAUAUAGUCCGGGGGCAUUGGAGCAGCAUGGAUGAGGAGCACGACGACGAUCGAGUAAUAUGAGAUUAGAUGGGGCUCUAGAGCCCCGGCCCCGCUACGGAGCUGAACCGUCGUUCCAUUGCCGCCUGCCAUCGAGGCGCUUGACCCGCGGACGAUGUGAGAGGACACCGUCCGUCGAUGAAGACGACGAGGCCACAGAUGCCGCAGAGAGUUUGACCAACAGCAGCAGCAGCACAAGUCGCUUGUACUUAAACCAAAAACUGGGUGUCGCAACAUUAACAACAGCCCCAAGGACACCAGCAACAGCUACACCAGCGCCGAGAGCAACACCAACAAAAAGAGGAGCAACAGGAGGACACGAUAUUGUCGCCACCCUGAAAACGCGUGCCCAGCCAUCGUUAAUGACCAUGGCGCCCAUUGUGGGUCGGAAGUCGUCGUCGUCGUCGUCGUCGCAGGGAUGGGCCAGCUCCUGGUCAUGGGCAUGGCACCAGGGUGGGAGCCAGUUCCUCCUUUGCCUGAUAUCCAUUAUGGCCCUGCUGCCGCCACUGACGCUGGGCGAUGACGGUGAUAAUUUCUUUGCCGUGAAUGCCUUUAGCGCUGGCCCGGAGACGACAACGCCAGAGUUUGAUUAUGCAAGCCGCGGCCAGAAGAAGUUUGGGGACAAGUGCGAGAAUACCUUGGAGUGCGGCUUCCCGGGCUCCAUAUGCGAUCCCAAGAAGAAGUCCUGCCAGUGUACCGAGGAUCUGCCCGUCACCAAUCACAUUGAUAAAUGUGGCAAAGAGGCCGCCGUGAACGAGUCCUGCUUCUUCAAUGAGCAAUGCGAGAUGCGUUACUUCCAGACGGAAUGCCGGGACGGACGGUGCGUCUGCCGCUUCGAGAUGUCGCCCAUUUGGGCCAAGGAUGGCUCCGUGGAGUGCAAAGGACGCCAGGAUAAGCGGGGACCCGAGACCUACAUCGAUCCGGCCAUGAUUGGCGUGCUGGUAGGAAUGGCAUUGAUGUUUGUUAUUAUUUGUGUCGUCCUGCGAUUGUUUAGCCAGGCUCGCUGGCGUGAAAACCGGACCAUCUUUAAUACCCCGAAUCCGCGGCUAAUGAACGUCUCUCUGCUGAGGGACAGCAAGCUGCUCCAUGGCCAGGAGCGUCGCGGUUCCCGGAUGUCGGUGCGGGCGCCAUCCCGGCAGCCCAGCAUGGCCUCGCUGCGUCCCCAUUCGCCGAAUCCGUCGCUAGGUAAGACAGGACGCAUGAUCCGCUCGAAGAGCAACACGCGGUCCAGUGACUCGCGGGUCAGCGAUGUGUCCACCUGCUCCCGCCUGCUGGAGCACCCGCAUCCGCACUCACAUCCGCAUCCGCAUUCGCAUCCGAGCGCCGCCAGCCAGCACAACCUGGUCCACAGCCAUUUUUUGCCCUAUGUGCCAACAACAACGUCGCCCAGCACUGUUACAGUCGCGGCCCAUACAGUCACGGCCACCACAACGUAUGCUGCCACCUCGGUAACGCCUUCGCCCACGCCCACGGCCACGCCCACGCCCACGCCUACGCCAACGCCCCUGCCCAGCACCAGCGGCACCACCUACGAUGUGUCCAUGGCGGGGACAAUGGCACCAUCAGCCUGCGGCAGAACGAACAAGUUCUAGAGAAUGCCGCAUAUAUCGCAAAGAAUAUAUAGACUAUAUAUCAUAGAUCAUGUGUAUCUGUCUGUAAAACGUAUCACAUUAUAGAAACGCAAAGAAAACGCUAAGAAACGCAUCCAUAUCGGGGUCCAAGAGGCUCACAUUCCGAAUCGCAUGGCAGUGCCAGCAACGCAUCCGCCACCUCGGUGCGUUCCAAUC